AGAACGAACGCUGGCGGCGUGGAUAAGACAUGCAAGUCGAACGGGACUUUCCCGAGUAGCAAUACCUGGGAAAGUUUAGUGGCGAACGGGUGCGUAACACGUGGGGAAUCUGCCGAGAAGUGGGGGAUAGCUCGUCGAAAGGCGAAUUAAUACCGCAUAUGAUCAGGGAAGACAUCUUUCCAACAUCAAAGCCGGGGCAACCUGGCGCUUCUUGAUGACCCCCGCGGCCUAUCAGCUAGUUGGUGAGGUAACGGCCCACCAAGGCUAUGACGGGUAGCUGGUCUGAGAGGACGACCAGUCACACUGGAACUGAGACACGGCCCAGACUCCUACGGGAGGCAGCAGUGGGGAAUAUUGGACAAUGGGCGCAAGCCUGAUCCAGCCAUGCCGCGUGGAUGAUGAAGGCCUUAGGGUUGUAAAGUCCUUUUAACGGGAGAUAAUGACGGUACCCGUAGAAUAAGCCCGGCUAACUUCGUGCCAGCAGCCGC
Molecule: ribosomal RNA, 488 nt
Filed under: uncultured bacterium
Lineage: Bacteria
Description: SSU rRNA
Rfam family: Bacterial small subunit ribosomal RNA
Source: RNAcentral